This 354-nucleotide unclassified non-coding RNA is filed under the name soil metagenome. Its description in RNAcentral is "partial contains 5.8S ribosomal RNA, internal transcribed spacer 2, and large subunit ribosomal RNA". The stretch from base 1 to 120 matches the Rfam family "5.8S ribosomal RNA", at positions 35 to 154 of the family's 154-position model. The record is from RNAcentral.
GAUGAAGAACGUAGUGAAAUGCGAUAAGUAAUGUGAAUUGCAGAAUUCCGUGAAUCAUCGAAUCUUUGAACGCACAUUGCGCCCGCCAGUAUUCUGGCGGGCAUGCCUGUCCGAGCGUCAUUUCAACCCUCGAACCCCUCCGGGGGGUCGGCGUUGGGGAUCGGCCCUCCCUUAGCGGGUGGCCGUCUCCGAAAUACAGUGGCGGUCUCGCCGCAGCCUCUCCUGCGCAGUAGUUUGCACACUCGCAUCGGGAGCGCGGCGCGUCCACAGCCGUUAAACACCCAACUUCUGAAAUGUUGACCUCGGAUCAGGUAGGAAUACCCGCUGAACUUAAGCAUAUCAAUAAGCGGAGGA